This 293-nucleotide ribosomal RNA is filed under the name uncultured bacterium. RNAcentral's name for it is "partial 16S ribosomal RNA". It matches the Rfam family "Bacterial small subunit ribosomal RNA", at positions 775 to 1067 of the family's 1533-position model. The record is from RNAcentral.
GGAUUAGAUACCCUGGUAGUCCACGCCGUAAACGAUGUCUACUAGCCGUUGGGAGCCUUGAGCUCUUAGUGGCGCAGCUAACGCACUAAGUAGACCGCCUGGGGAGUACGGUCGCAAGAUUAAAACUCAAAUGAAUUGACGGGGGCCCGCACAAGCGGUGGAGCAUGUGGUUUAAUUCGAUGCAACGCGAAGAACCUUACCAAGACUUGACAUCCUGAGAACUUGCUAGAGAUAGCUUGGUGCCUUCGGGAACUCAGAGACAGGUGCUGCAUGGCUGUCGUCAGCUCGUGUUG